RNAcentral lists this ribosomal RNA (371 nucleotides) under uncultured organism. RNAcentral's name for it is "bacterial SSU rRNA". It matches the Rfam family "Bacterial small subunit ribosomal RNA", at positions 526 to 896 of the family's 1533-position model. The record is from RNAcentral.
CGGAGGGGGCUAGCGUUGUUCGGAAUUACUGGGCGUAAAGCGUACGUAGGCGGCUUUGUAAGUUAGAGGUGAAAGCCCGGGGCUCAACCCCGGAAUUGCCUUUAAGACUGCAUCGCUUGAACGUCGGAGAGGUGAGUGGAAUUCCGAGUGUAGAGGUGAAAUUCGUAGAUAUUCGGAAGAACACCAGUGGCGAAGGCGGCUCACUGGACGACUGUUGACGCUGAGGUACGAAAGCGUGGGGAGCAAACAGGAUUAGAUACCCUGGUAGUCCACGCCGUAAACGAUGAUAACUAGCUGUCCGGGCACUUGGUGCUUGGGUGGCGCAGCUAACGCAUUAAGUUAUCCGCCUGGGGAGUACGGCCGCAAGGUUA